CGGUAAUACGGAGGAUGCAAGCGUUAUCCGGAAUGAUUGGGCGUAAAGGGUCCGCAGGUGGCAUUGUAAGUCUGCUGUUAAAGAGUUUGGCUCAACCAAAUAAGAGCAGUGGAAACUACAAAGCUAGAGUGUGGUCGGGGCAGAGGGAAUUCCUGGUGUAGCGGUGAAAUGCGUAGAUAUCAGGAAGAACACCAGUGGCGAAGGCGCUCUGCUAGGCCGAGACUGACACUGAGGGACGAAAGCUAGGGGAGCGAAUGGGAUUAGAUACCCCAGUAGUCCUAGCCGUAAACGAUGGAUACUAGGCGUAGCUCGUAUCGACCCGAGCUGUGCCGGAGCUAACGCGUUAAGUAUCCCGCCUGGGGAGUACGCAGGCAACUGUGAAACUCAAAG
This 390-nucleotide ribosomal RNA is filed under the name uncultured bacterium. RNAcentral's name for it is "bacterial SSU rRNA". It matches the Rfam family "Bacterial small subunit ribosomal RNA", at positions 518 to 906 of the family's 1533-position model. The record is from RNAcentral.